GACGAGUGGCGAACGGGUGAGUAAUACAUCGGAACGUGCCCAGUCGUGGGGGAUAACUACUCGAAAGAGUAGCUAAUACCGCAUACGAUCUGAGGAUGAAAGCGGGGGACCUUCGGGCCUCGCGCGAUUGGAGCGGCCGAUGGCAGAUUAGGUAGUUGGUGGGAUAAAAGCUUACCAAGCCGACGAUCUGUAGCUGGUCUGAGAGGACGACCAGCCACACUGGGACUGAGACACGGCCCAGACUCC
RNAcentral lists this ribosomal RNA (246 nucleotides) under uncultured bacterium. Its description in RNAcentral is "partial 16S ribosomal RNA". It matches the Rfam family "Bacterial small subunit ribosomal RNA", at positions 90 to 339 of the family's 1533-position model. The record is from RNAcentral.